GAUGAACGCUAGCGGCAGGCUUAACACAUGCAAGUCGAGGGGCAUCGGGAGGGAAGCUUGCUUUCCUUGCCGGCGACCGGCGCACGGGUGAGUAACACGUAUGCAACCUGCCCUCUUCAGGGGGACAACCUUCCGAAAGGGAGGCUAAUCCCGCGUAUAUCGGUUUCGGGCAUCCGAGAUCGAGGAAAGAUUCAUCGGAAGAGGAUGGGCAUGCGGCGCAUUAGCUUGACGGCGGGGUAACGGCCCACCGUGGCGACGAUGCGUAGGGGUUCUGAGAGGAAGGUCCCCCACACUGGUACUGAGACACGGACCAGACUCCUACGGGAGGCAGCAGUGAGGAAUAUUGGUCAAUGGGAGAGAUCCUGAACCAGCCAAGCCGCGUGAGGGAAGACGGCCCUAUGGGUUGUAAACCUCUUUUGUCGGAGAACAAAACCCGGGACGUGUCCCGGACUGCGUGUAUCCGAAGAAAAAGCAUCGGCUAACUCCGUGCCAGCAGCCGCGGUAAUACGGAGGAUGCGAGCGUUAUCCGGAUUUAUUGGGUUUAAAGGGUGCGUAGGCGGUCCGUUAAGUCAGCGGUAAAAUUGCGGGGCUCAACCCCGUCGAGCCGUUGAAACUGGCAGACUUGAGUUGGCGAGAAGUACGCGGAAUGCGCGGUGUAGCGGUGAAAUGCAUAGAUAUCGCGCAGAACUCCGAUUGCGAAGGCAGCGUACCGGCGCCAGACUGACGCUGAGGCACGAAAGCGUGGGGAUCGAACAGGAUUAGAUACCCUGGUAGUCCACGCAGUAAACGAUGAAUGCUGGUUGUCCGGGUCGAAUGAGAUCUGGGCGGCGAAGCGAAAGCGAUAAGCAUUCCACCUGGGGAGUACGCCGGCAACGGUGAAACUCAAAGGAAUUGACGGGGGCCCGCACAAGCGGAGGAACAUGUGGUUUAAUUCGAUGAUACGCGAGGAACCUUACCCGGGCUCAAACGGGAGUGGAAUGGACCAGAGACGGUUCAGCCUACGGGCCGCUUCCGAGGUGCUGCAUGGUUGUCGUCAGCUCGUGCCGUGAGGUGUCGGCUUAAGUGCCAUAACGAGCGCAACCCCCGCCGGCAGUUGCUAACGGGCAAUGCCGAGGACUCUGCCGGGACUGCCGCCGCAAGGCGAGAGGAAGGCGGGGAUGACGUCAAAUCAGCACGGCCCUUACGUCCGGGGCGACACACGUGUUACAAUGGGCGGUACAGCGGGAAGCCAGGCGGCGACGCCGAGCGGAGCCCGAAAGCCGUUCUCAGUUCGGAUCGGAGUCUGCAACCCGACUCCGUGAAGCUGGAUUCGCUAGUAAUCGCGCAUCAGCCAUGGCGCGGUGAAUACGUUCCCGGGCCU
RNAcentral lists this ribosomal RNA (1360 nucleotides) under uncultured bacterium. RNAcentral describes it as "bacterial SSU rRNA". It matches the Rfam family "Bacterial small subunit ribosomal RNA", at positions 28 to 1381 of the family's 1533-position model. The record is from RNAcentral.